Molecule: ribosomal RNA, 764 nt
Filed under: uncultured Streptococcus sp.
Lineage: Bacteria; Bacillati; Bacillota; Bacilli; Lactobacillales; Streptococcaceae
Description: bacterial SSU rRNA
Rfam family: Bacterial small subunit ribosomal RNA
Source: RNAcentral
GCUUGCUUCUCUGGAUGAGUUGCGAACGGGUGAGUAACGCGUAGGUAACCUGCCUGGUAGCGGGGGAUAGCUAUUGGAAACGAUAGCUAAUACCGCAUAACAUUGACUAUUGCAUGAUAGUCAGUUAAAAGGUGCAAUUGCAUCACUACCAGAUGGACCUGCGUUGUAUUAGCUAGUUGGUGGGGUAACGGCUCACCAAGGCGACGAUACAUAGCCGACCUGAGAGGGUGAUCGGCCACACUGGGACUGAGACACGGCCCAGACUCCUACGGGAGGCAGCAGUAGGGAAUCUUCGGCAAUGGACGGAAGUCUGACCGAGCAACGCCGCGUGAGUGAAGAAGGUUUUCGGAUCGUAAAGCUCUGUUGUAAGAGAAGAACGAGUGUGAGAGUGGAAAGUUCACACUGUGACGGUAUCUUACCAGAAAGGGACGGCUAACUACGUGCCAGCAGCCGCGGUAAUACGUAGGUCCCGAGCGUUGUCCGGAUUUAUUGGGCGUAAAGCGAGCGCAGGCGGUUAGAUAAGUCUGAAGUUAAAGGCUGUGGCUUAACCAUAGUACGCUUUGGAAACUGUUUAACUUGAGUGCAAGAGGGGAGACGUGGAAUUCCAUGUGUAGCGGUGAAAUGCGUAGAUAUAUGGAGGACACCGGUGGCGAAAGCGGCUCUCUGGCUUGUAACUGACGUGAGGUCGAAAGCGUGGGGAGCAAACAGGAUUAGAUACCCCGGUAGUCCACGCCGUAAACGAUGAGUGCUAGGUGUUAGACCCU